Molecule: long non-coding RNA, 2184 nt
Organism: Cyprinus carpio carpio
Lineage: Eukaryota; Metazoa; Chordata; Actinopteri; Cypriniformes; Cyprinidae
Source: Ensembl
GUUGUUUGCCGCUGGUGGAAUACUGUGGACCAGACGUCUGAGGUGACUGGGGAGAGGUAUAGUGUGGACAUUUUCCUGGUGGAUGCUGUCCUCUACAUCUCCAGCACUGAACUGGGAUUUUCUCAUUGAUGUCCUAAUUUUACCAGCUCUUCCACAGUAUUUACUCGGCUACGCAAUUGGCUGGCAAGGUACGGCUUGAUAUUCUUAAGUAUCAUCUUCACAAUCUCACCCUCUGUAAAAUCUGCCUUCCAUCUUUUACAGAGAGCUCUGUAAGAAAACGCGAAGUCUCUAAUGGAUUCUGUGUCUCUUUGAAUCCUAGUACGGACACGUUCAGCCAGUUCGUCCUCAUAAUCCUCAGAAAGGAAAGCAGAUAUGAAUGCAGUCUCAAACUCAAUCCAAGUGGUUAUGCUGGACCGUCUGACUUCCCACCAGUCUCGUGCUGUUCCGUACAAGACAGUACGGAAGGUAGCCAGGAUGUCUGCAUCUGUCAGGGGAUGUACAGCCAAAAAAUCCUGACAUUUAGUUAGGUACAAUAGGGGGUCUGCAUCGUCUGAAGGCCUUCCAAAUGUGGGGAAGGUUAAUUUAAUAUGGUCACUUUUAACCACAGAUGUUAACAGAGGGGUUGAAGAAGUUGAAAGAGUCACUGGAGCAAAAGGAGAUGGCUGGGAUGAAAUACUGGUAGUGCUGGGACCUGGUGCUGUCAGUACACUUAAUUUUUGUUGAUCUGCACUUUUUUUAACACUUUGAAAUCCUUUCUCCACUUCACUUUUCAACUCUUUGAAACCGGUGAGACAUUGAUCAGUUUGAGUAACACAUUGUUGGAGUUGUGAAGUUAUCUUAUUAUGGCUUGUUUGGAAAGUAUUUUGAACAGCUUUGAUGUCCUGCUGAACCUCUGCUUGGAGUUGAUCAACCAUGAAUCGUAGUUCGGACACCAAGCAAGAUCAGCAAUCUGGCUCUGGUGCUGAGAAGAGGUAUCUUUCACUUCCUGGGAGUUGGUAGAAUGUUGGGCAGGUCAUGUUGUGCCACUGACGAAGGAGUUCCACCUUCAGAAGAGGUGCAAAGUUGCAUGUUAUCCACUUGUGUUGCCCAGGUGAGAGUUUGUACUGGAGUGCUCCCAGCCAGAGCAGGAGAGGACAUGUGCACACGGGUUCCAGGAUGAACAGAACUGAGUGGAGUGGGGGUAUGGUAGAACACCGGAGCAUAUGGAGGUUGUUCCAGAGGCAUCCCUGGUCGCAGUGCAGGCGGCCAUACUGGAGUUGAGAUGUCUGGUGGAGGCUCAAUUUCCACAAAAGUAGUUUGGGAAGGAGGGGUAUGCGCCAUGAUUGCUGUGAUUGAGUGUAAGAAUGUUGAGUGUGAAAAACAAUAAAUAUCAGUAAAUGAGAUGUGUAUCAGUGUGUUUGUCCCUGAAAUAUUUCUACUAAACAACAGAAUACAACUUUUCACAACUGUUCAAUCAGUAUUAUCUCACAACCACUAGGUAAAUCAAAACAAUAAGUAUUCAAAGUAAUUCACCUUCACUUAUUUCAAAUAUUCAAACAAUUAUCAAUUACUGUGACACCUUAGAGAUAACACCUCUAAUUGUUCAUUUAGCGUUCACAGUUUAUACAAAAAAAAAAACAAUUUUCACAAGCAUAAACAAUUUACAAGAUUAAUUCAGACAGUUUCAUUGUUUCACUAAUUUUCCAAAAAAGAAAAAAUAUAUAUAUAAAGUUUUCAAAUCAAUGUUUCAGAGGUGCAUUUUUUUUUUUAAAGUGUUCAAUAGUUCACAGGGAUUGUCAAAAUCAAAAAACUCAAGUUUCAAGUGUUAAAGCAGGUUUCAGUUCAGGUCCCUGUUCGGGCGCCACUCUAUAACGGUGGUAGCCGCCCUAACUCAAAUACUAUUUUAAAGAAGAAAAAAAAACCUUCGGGCGCCAGACAGGAUUAAACCUAUCAAAAAUUAACUUAACCCCGGAUAGCAGGAAAAUAACCACCUGUUACACAACAAAUUAUAAUAAUAAUCCCAGACUAAAAGGUCAUCAGGAUAUUUAUUCUUCCAUAUGUUCAAAAUCAUAAUAACACAGAAAACUGAAAUGGACAACAAAAUAAAAAACAAAAAAAAACAAAAUAAGCAAUGACCACACGUUCCCACUAGCGGUCUCUGGUCUUCGAAAUCCGUGCCCGUGCCAGAAACCGACCGCGUCACGC